UGAAUGUCAGUCUCGAACCCGAUCCGAUUUUCUCGUGUAUUGUGUAUGAUGCGAGGAGUUUUACUCCUCUCCGAUUCUGUUAUAGAUCUGGUUCGCCCGUAAUAGAUGUAAUUGUUGCCGACUCCUCGUUCAAGGCACUUUCGGAUAAUUUAUGCAAUCAAACUUUAAACCACAGGAGAGAUUUUAUAUAAAACUAAGAAAAUACUACGUAUUUAAUAUUAUGUUCAUAAUUUGUUGCUAAUAAAAAUAUUAUUUAUUUCGUAAAAUAAAUCCGAGAAACAAAUAUAACUCACUAGAGGGCGAACAGACUCUAUAUAUUAGCGGAGUGUCUUUCUUCCGUUUUAUUUUACGCUGAUCGUGAGGUAUGUGUGGUUACGUUUAAGGAAGAUGAUGCUUUAAAAGGACUUCAUCCGAUAUCCUUAUCCUGAGUAGUGGUAAGAAUGGGUAUUAAUCAUUCGCAUCUGUGAAUUGGUUAUGGAGAUACUUGAGUCUUGUUUAUCGCGAUCCUAUCUUAGCUGUUUUAAGAGACUAAGCUAGGGUCGUUGGUGCAGUAGUUUUAUAAGAAUGUGUGUAAAUGGUUUCGUUUAAACAAAAUAAAGGCAUAUUUUAUAUUGGUUGUUAUGAAUAUAUAUUAUUGUACAAAAUUCACCAUACAUGAUUUCAAUAACUUACUAGAUGAAAAUGAUUUACAAAUUCGCCAUUAUAAAAUUUUUGUAAUUAAUUAAUUCGUUCAAAC
This is a long non-coding RNA of Centruroides sculpturatus (bark scorpion), 736 nucleotides long. RefSeq lists it as uncharacterized. Lineage: Eukaryota; Metazoa; Arthropoda; Arachnida; Scorpiones; Buthidae. The transcript is spliced from 4 exons. The record is from RefSeq and is a predicted model, not a curated record.